Molecule: ribosomal RNA, 301 nt
Filed under: uncultured bacterium
Lineage: Bacteria
Description: partial 16S ribosomal RNA
Rfam family: Bacterial small subunit ribosomal RNA
Source: RNAcentral
CAGUAGCCACGGGAAAACGUAGGGUCCGAGCGUUGUCCGGAAUUAUUGGGCGUAAAGCGUGCGUAGGUGGUGGUUUAAGUCCGUUGUGAAAGCCCUGGGCUCAACCUGGGAAUUGCAGUGGAUACUGGGUCACUAGAGUGUGGUAGAGGAUAGUGGAAUUUCCGGUGUAGCAGUGAAAUGCGUAGAGAUCGGAAGGAACAUCUGUGGCGAAGGCGACUAUCUGGGCCAACACUGACACUGAGGCACGAAAGCGUGGGGAGCAAACAGGAUUAGAUACCCCAGUAGUCCCUGUCUCUUAUAC